Molecule: ribosomal RNA, 489 nt
Filed under: uncultured bacterium
Lineage: Bacteria
Description: partial 16S ribosomal RNA
Rfam family: Bacterial small subunit ribosomal RNA
Source: RNAcentral
AUUGAACGCUGGCGGCAGGCCUAACACAUGCAAGUCGAACGGUAACAGGAAGCAGCUUGCUGCUUUGCUGACGAGUGGCGGACGGGUGAGUAAUGUCUGGGAAACUGCCCGAUGGAGGGGGAUAACUACUGGAAACGGUAGCUAAUACCGCAUAACGUCGCAAGACCAAAGAGGGGGACCUUAGGGCCUCUUGCCAUCGGAUGUGCCCAGAUGGGAUUAGCUAGUAGGUGGGGUAACGGCUCACCUAGGCGACGAUCCCUAGCUGGUCUGAGAGGAUGACCGCCCCACCUGGAACGGGGACACGGCCCAAACCCCCAGGGGAGGGCGGAGGGGGGAAUAUUGCAAAAUGGGGCAAAGCCUGAUGCAGCCAUGCCGGGGGUAUGAAGAAGGCCUUGGGGUUGUAAAUUUUUUUCAGCGGGGGGGAAGGGAAUAAAGUUAAUACCUUUGCUCAUUGACGUUACCCGCAAAAGAAGCACCGGCUAACUCCGG